This 66-nucleotide transfer RNA is filed under the name Marmota marmota marmota (Alpine marmot). It matches the Rfam family "tRNA", at positions 6 to 65 of the family's 71-position model. From Rfam's summary of the family: Transfer RNA (tRNA) molecules are approximately 80 nucleotides in length. Their secondary structure includes four short double-helical elements and three loops (D, anti-codon, and T loops). Further hydrogen bonds mediate the characteristic L-shaped molecular structure. tRNAs have two regions of fundamental functional importance: the anti-codon, which is responsible for specific mRNA codon recognition, and the 3' end, to which the tRNAs corresponding amino acid is attached (by aminoacyl-tRNA synthetases). tRNAs cope with the degeneracy of the genetic code in two manners: having more than one tRNA (with a specific anti-codon) for a particular amino acid; and 'wobble' base-pairing, i.e. permitting non-standard base-pairing at the 3rd anti-codon position. RNAcentral also lists the same sequence under 2 other names. Lineage: Eukaryota; Metazoa; Chordata; Mammalia; Rodentia; Sciuridae. The record is from Rfam by way of RNAcentral.
UGUGGCUCAGUGGUAGAGCGCUUGCCUAGCAUGCAUGAGGCACUGGGUUUGAUCUGAUUCCCAGCA